Long non-coding RNA from Tupaia belangeri chinensis (Chinese tree shrew), 289 nucleotides. RefSeq lists it as uncharacterized. NCBI's taxonomy places the organism in Eukaryota, Metazoa, Chordata, Mammalia, Scandentia, Tupaiidae. The record is from RefSeq and is a predicted model, not a curated record. The transcript is spliced from 3 exons.
GUGGUGAAAAGGACCGACCCGGAAGCGAAGCGGGGGCAACUUCCGUUCUUUGUUCUGUCCCCGGUGUGUGGGGCUGUGACAGGGUCCAACAGGGCCUGGUCUGUGUCCGGUCCCCCCCAAGUCUCCCGUCCCUGCCCCUAGGCAUUGGCAUCAGCUGCAGUCAGAAUUCCCAGGAACUUGAACAGAGGCUGCCAGAUUCCCAGUAAUUGCUACUUUGGCCUUACUAGGGACUAACUGCAAAGAAGGAAGGGAAGAACCCAGCAGUGCUUUCCUAUUCUCAUUCAAAACC